Octodon degus (degu) is the source of this 1683-nucleotide RNA transcript. It is a transcript of the gene named pyruvate dehydrogenase E1 component subunit alpha, somatic form, mitochondrial pseudogene, with no coding region annotated. NCBI's taxonomy places the organism in Eukaryota, Metazoa, Chordata, Mammalia, Rodentia, Octodontidae. The transcript has a single exon. The record is from RefSeq and is a predicted model, not a curated record.
UUUUGGUGUCACCGCCUCAGCCACAGCCUGCGCUCCAUGAGGAAGAUGCUUGUCGCCGUCUCCCGCGUGCUGUCCGGCGCUGCCCAGAAGCCGUCAAGCAGAGUGCUAGUGGCAUCCCGUAAUUUUGCAAAUGAUGCUACAUUUGAAAUUAAGAAAUGUGAUCUUCAUCGGCUCGAAGAGGGCCCACCUGUCACCACAGUGCUCACCAGGGAAGAGGGGCUCAAAUACUAUAGGAUGAUGCAGACUGUGCGCCGGAUAGAGCUAAAGGCAGACCAACUGUAUAAGCAGAAAAUUAUUCGUGGUUCUGCCACUUGUGUGAUGGUCAGGAAGCCUGCUGUGUGGGACUCGAGGCUGGCAUAAAUCCUACCGAUCAUCUGAUCACAGCCUAUCGGGCUCAUGGUUUUACCUUCACUCGGGGCCUUUCAGUCCGGGAGAUUCUAGCAGAGCUAACAGGAUGAAGAGGAAGUUGUGCUAAAGGGAAAGGAGGAUCUAUGCACAUGUAUGCCAAGAACUUCUACGGGGGCAAUGGCAUUGUUGGAGCUCAGGUGCCCCUAGGAGCUGGGAUUGCUCUGGCCUGCAAAUACAAUGGAAAAGAUGAGGUCUGUCUGACAUUAUAUGGUGAUGGUGCUGCUAAUCAGGGCCAGAUAUUUGAAGCUUACAAUAUGGCAGCAUUGUGGAAAUUACCUUGUAUUUUCAUUUGUGAGAAUAACCGCUAUGGAAUGGGAACAUCUGUGGAGCAAGCUGCAGCCAGCACUGAUUACUAUAAGAGAGGCGAUUUUAUUCCUGGGCUGAGGGUAGAUGGAAUGGAUAUCCUGUGCAUCUGGGAAGCAACAAAGUUUGCAAUUUCCUAUUGUAGAUCUGGGAAGGGGCCCAUCCUGAUGGAGCUGCAGACUUACCGUUACCAUGGACAUAGUAUGAGUGAUCCUGGAGUCAGUUAUCGUUCACGAGAAGAAAUUCAGGAAGUAAGAAGUAAGAGUGACCCUAUUAUGCUUCUCAAGGAUAGGAUGGUGAACAGCAAUCUUGCCAGUGUAGAAGAAUUAAAGGAAAUUGAUGUGGAAGUGAGGAAAGAAAUUGAGGAUGCUGCCCAGUUUGCCACAGCUGAUCCUGAGCCACCUCUGGAAGAACUAGGCCAUUACAUCUACAGUAGCGACCCACCCUUUGAAGUGCGUGGUGCUAACCAGUGGAUCAAAUUCAAGUCAGUCAGUUAACAGGAGAUCACAUGUAAUGGAUGGCCUGUUCAUCAGCAAUUGUAAGGAACUCAGUUUUCAACUUUGAGAAAUAAUAUCCAAAAAAUAUGGUAUAAGUCUUGGAAACUUUUUAAAUAGCAUGUAAGUUAUACUAAGGAGUAACUGCAUGCAUGCAGGUUGUACCUUAGUGCUUAAGUGCUUCGUGUGACUAUAUAAAAACAAAAGUAUAAUCUUCCCCCAAAAUUAUUUCCUAAGAUCAUUUAAUUUGUCUAAACAGAAGAACAAUUCUUUGUAUGCCUGUUCCAAACCUGUCAUUUCUUUGGGUGAUGAUCCCUGGUCUUGAGGAAUCAUUGCUGUAUUCUCAUAGGACCCCUUGACCUCACAGGUAGUAUAGGUGCAGAAGACUGCACUGCUUGCUUCUCCAACGUUUAUGAUUAUAAAUAAGAUUUCAAAAGCCAAAUUAUUUUUUUCAUUUAUGCAUUCAAAGUAAAUAUGA